This 388-nucleotide unclassified non-coding RNA is filed under the name uncultured fungus. RNAcentral describes it as "partial contains small subunit ribosomal RNA, internal transcribed spacer 1, and 5.8S ribosomal RNA". The stretch from base 1 to 73 matches the Rfam family "Eukaryotic small subunit ribosomal RNA", at positions 1759 to 1831 of the family's 1831-position model. The record is from RNAcentral. Lineage: Eukaryota; Fungi.
UCAAACUUGGUCAUUUAGAGGAAGUAAAAGUCGUAACAAGGUUUCCGUAGGUGAACCUGCGGAAGGAUCAUUAAUGAACAAGGAGAGGGGGGGAGGAUGUGGGGAGUGUGUCUGUGUACAGCAGUCAUGGUCUUGCAUUGCUCCUCCUACUUUAUGCCCGAUGGCUCUUGGGCCAUCUGGAGCGAGAGUGCGUGAGUGUGGUGUGUGCGAGGUAGGUUGGUGAAAUGCAUGUACAUACGUAUGUGCAUGUACACCACCAUGUCUCGCUAUUACUGCCCGCUCCGCCUCUGCAACAACACGCUUGACGCUUGACUAUGCAAUUAUCGUCAUAUCAUCCACAACUUUUAACAACGGAUCUCUAGGCUCUUGCAUCGAUGAAGAACGCAGC